AUACUUCUAGCCAUUUCACUCCGAAUCUCAAUGAAGACAUCAGUCAUUCAUCAUCACGAACCCUAAUCGCAUCAACAAUCAUCGAGCAUGAGCAUAUUCUGGUGUAAGUUAUUGAUUCUUGGUAUGAAACAUCUCAUCAACUUCAUCAUUCGUCCACCAGGAUCGAAGAUUUAAGAUCCGGCUUUUUUUUCCAUUAAUCGUCGGUUCCAUUUGAAUCCUAAACUGAUGGUUUUGUGGGGAUACCGCAUAAGGCGGCGAUAGAGGUGGAGUUGUUUGUCGGCGGUGGUUUAGCGUCAUCUAGGGUUCCAAUAGACAAGUUCGUUGCCGGUUACUUCACAACUGUUUUCCUGCUAUUGUUUCCGAUGACCCUUUAAUUGCUCAUGAUCAAUGGAAGCCACUAAUGUCUUUUGUAAAGAUUUUGUUCGCGAGAAACGACCCGGUAGGAACUUACUUUGCACUAAACCGGUUUGCUGAUAUUUUUGAUACAAUGAUUUUGCCGGUAUUAUUUGCCGGUAUUAUUUAUGUACACCAGCUGCUUCUUCUGAAGCACAUUUGUGUAUAUUUCUUUGUUUAGAAACUGAGUGCGAUUUACUUGCAGGAAGAGAUGGUGGAAUAUGUAACAUCCAACAUGUGGUUUCCAAUUUAGUAGUUUUUUUGGCAGUUUGAAGAUAUAUGCUUUUGCCGGGCAGUUGGCCUUUGUGCUCUUCUACCAAUUAUUUUCAUGGGAAGUCAUAUGGUUAUUGAAUUUCCGACUUCACAAACAAGUCUUUGGAAUCAUUCACUAUUUCAAAUGUCAAUGACAAAUUGAAAAGAUAAUGAACCUAGAAUCAGUUAAUCGUUUGUAUCUAUAUUUGUAUGAAUACGUAACACCAUCGAGACAACGAACACUACAUCAACCACUAUAGUUUCUACUGAAAGUCACGUACAACCAACCUCUUUUCAGAUUCGAAGAAAAAUUGAAUACACAUUCGUACAAUCGUUCAAUCAAUUAUGAAGAUGUUAAAUGUUACAAUGAACUAGAGAUUUAUGUUUAUUGCAGCGACGGCAACAGAGCUUUUUCGAUGUUCUUAUGUAGCGCUUUUUCAUUUGCUAGCGACAUCAACAGAGCUACAGAGACAACCGUUAGCUUUUUGGAUGUGGUUGUGUGACAGAAUAAGAUAAUCAGUCAUCACAAACCAGUUUCUCCUGCAGUAUAUGGUGUUUGGAUAUUCUUAUGCAGUUCUUUUUCAUUUGCCGGUGACGGCAACAGAGCUGCAAAAAAAACCGGUUCAUGUCAUGCUGGUGGAAUGAACUGUGCUGAAGCUUUGCUCCACUCUUUUAGAAUUCUAGAACAAGAUUGUGGACCAGGGGUUGGGGUUUCUAAGGGUUUUGGAGCAUUUAUCAUCUGGCCCAUUUUUAGAUUUUCAAAGCAUCACCUCUGCUAGAGAGUAAAAGUAAAAGGAGAGAGGAAGAGAAGCAUAAUGGUUACUUGCAGUUAGGUCCACCAGAUAAAGAUAAUAUUGAUGUAUCAUUAUAAUUGAAAGACCGGUUAUACGCGUAGGAUGGUGCUGAAAUGGUAAAAAAUUGGCGGUUCUAUAAUUCAGAAAAUUCUUACAGAGAAGAGACACGACUUUUGAUAGUUUUGAAAGUUAAAGCAAACAACAGGACGCAAAAAAACACUUGGUUAAUAGCAAAAAGAUAUUGCCUAUAGCAUUGAAGUAUCCUACUGGCAAAAUCCGAUG
Molecule: long non-coding RNA, 1721 nt
Filed under: Helianthus annuus (common sunflower)
Lineage: Eukaryota; Viridiplantae; Streptophyta; Magnoliopsida; Asterales; Asteraceae
Source: RNAcentral